Molecule: transfer RNA, 78 nt
Filed under: Cohnella cholangitidis
Lineage: Bacteria; Bacillati; Bacillota; Bacilli; Caryophanales; Paenibacillaceae
Description: Cohnella sp. KS 22 tRNA-Glu
Rfam family: tRNA
About the family: Transfer RNA (tRNA) molecules are approximately 80 nucleotides in length. Their secondary structure includes four short double-helical elements and three loops (D, anti-codon, and T loops). Further hydrogen bonds mediate the characteristic L-shaped molecular structure. tRNAs have two regions of fundamental functional importance: the anti-codon, which is responsible for specific mRNA codon recognition, and the 3' end, to which the tRNAs corresponding amino acid is attached (by aminoacyl-tRNA synthetases). tRNAs cope with the degeneracy of the genetic code in two manners: having more than one tRNA (with a specific anti-codon) for a particular amino acid; and 'wobble' base-pairing, i.e. permitting non-standard base-pairing at the 3rd anti-codon position.
Source: RNAcentral
GACUCCGUUGACAAAAUGGCUUAAGUCACCAGACUUUCAAUCUGGUCAGUGCGGGUUCGAGUCCCGUCGGAGUCGCCA